GAUGAACGCUAGCUACAGGCUUAACACAUGCAAGUCGAGGGGCAGCAUGAAUAUUGGCUUGCCAAUAUUUGAUGGCGACCGGCGCACGGGUGAGUAACACGUAUCCAACCUUCCGGUUACUCGGGGAUAGGCUUUCGAAAGAAAGAUUAAUACCCGAUGUUGUGUAUCUUUCUCCUGAAAGAUACGCCAAAGGAUUCCGGUAACCGAUGGGGAUGCGUUCCAUUAGGCAGUUGGCGGGGUAACGGCCCACCAAACCUUCGAUGGAUAGGGGUUCUGAGAGGAAGGUCCCCCACAUUGGAACUGAGACACGGUCCAAGCUCCUACGGGAGGCAGCAGUGAGGAAUAUUGGUCAAUGGACGGAAGUCUGAACCAGCCAAGUAGCGUGAAGGAUGACUGCCCUCUGGGUUGUAAACUUCUUUUAUACGGGAAUAACAUGAGGUACGCGUACCUUAUUGCAUGUACCGUUAUGAAUAAGCAUCGGCUAACUCCGUGCCAGCAGCCGCGGUAAUACGGAGGAUGCGAGCGUUAUCCGGAUUUAUUGGGUUUAAAGGGAGCGUAGGUGGGAUAUUAAGUCAGCUGUGAAAGUUUGGGGCUCAACCUUAAAAUUGCAGUUGAUGCUGGUUUCCUUGAGUACGGUACAGGUGGGCGGAAUUCGUGGUGUAGCGGUGAAAUGCUUAGAUAUCACGAAGAACUCCGAUCGCGAAGGCAGCUCACCGGGCCGGAACUGACACUGAUGCUCGAAAGUGCGGGUAUCAAACAGGAUUAGAUACCCUGGUAGUCCGCACAGUAAACGAUGAAUACUCGCUGUUUGCGAUACACUGUAAGCGGCCAAGCGAAAGCGUUAAGUAUUCCACCUGGGGAGUACGCCGGCAACGGUGAAACUCAAAGGAAUUGACGGGGGCCCGCACAAGCGGAGGAACAUGUGGUUUAAUUCGAUGAUACGCGAGGAACCUUACCCGGGCUUAAAUUGCGCUGGCUUUUACCGGAAACGGUAUUUUCUUCGGACCAGCGUGAAGGUGCUGCAUGGUUGUCGUCAGCUCGUGCCGUGAGGUGUCGGCUUAAGUGCCAUAACGAGCGCAACCCUUAUCUUUAGUUACUAACAGUUUUGCUGAGGACUCUAAAGAGACUGCCGUCGUAAGAUGCGAGGAAGGUGGGGAUGACGUCAAAUCAGCACGGCCCUUACGUCCGGGGCUACACACGUGUUACAAUGGGGAGCACAGCAGGUUGCUACACGGCGACGUGAUGCCAAUCCGUAAAACUCCUCUCAGUUCGGAUCGAAGUCUGCAACCCGACUUCGUGAAGCUGGAUUCGCUAGUAAUCGCGCAUCAGCCACGGCGCGGUGAAUACGUUCCCGGGCCU
RNAcentral lists this ribosomal RNA (1359 nucleotides) under uncultured bacterium. Its description in RNAcentral is "bacterial SSU rRNA". It matches the Rfam family "Bacterial small subunit ribosomal RNA", at positions 28 to 1381 of the family's 1533-position model. The record is from RNAcentral.